GAUGAACGCUGGCGGCGUGCCUAAUACAUGCAAGUCGAGCGAACAGAUAAGGAGCUUGCUCCUUUGAAGUUAGCGGCGGACGGGUGAGUAACACGUGGGUAACCUACCUAUAAGACUGGGAUAACUUCGGGAAACCGGAGCUAAUACCGGAUAAUAUUUAGAACCGCAUGGUUCUAAAGUGAAAGAUGGUUUUGCUAUCACUUAUAGAUGGACCCGCGCCGUAUUAGCUAGUUGGUAAGGUAACGGCUUACCAAGGCGACGAUACGUAGCCGACCUGAGAGGGUGAUCGGCCACACUGGAACUGAGACACGGUCCAGACUCCUACGGGAGGCAGCAGUAGGGAAUCUUCCGCAAUGGGCGAAAGCCUGACGGAGCAACGCCGCGUGAGUGAUGAAGGGUUUCGGCUCGUAAAACUCUGUUAUUAGGGAAGAACAAAUGUGUAAGUAACUGUGCACAUCUUGACGGUACCUAAUCAGAAAGCCACGGCUAACUACGUGCCAGCAGCCGCGGUAAUACGUAGG
Molecule: ribosomal RNA, 521 nt
Filed under: uncultured bacterium
Lineage: Bacteria
Description: bacterial SSU rRNA
Rfam family: Bacterial small subunit ribosomal RNA
Source: RNAcentral